This 252-nucleotide ribosomal RNA is filed under the name uncultured bacterium. RNAcentral describes it as "partial 16S ribosomal RNA". It matches the Rfam family "Bacterial small subunit ribosomal RNA", at positions 524 to 776 of the family's 1533-position model. The record is from RNAcentral.
UACGUAGGGGGCGAGCGUUGUCCGGAUUUAUUGGGCGUAAAGAGCUCGUAGGCGGUUUGGUAAGUUGGAUGUGAAAUCUCCAGGCUCAACUUGGAGGGGUCAUUCGAUACUGCCAUGACUAGAGUUCGGUAGGGGAGUGGAAUUCCCGGUGUAGCGGUGAAAUGCGCAGAUAUCGGGAGGAACACCAAUGGCGAAGGCAGCUCGCUGGGACGGUACUGACGCUGAGGCGCGAAAGCGUGGGGAGCGAACAGG